ACUACGGGAGGCAGCAGUGGGGGAUAUUGCACAAUGGGGGAAACCCUGAUGCAGCGACGCCGCGUGAGCGAUGAAGUAUUUCGGUAUGUAAAGCUCUAUCAGCAGGGAAGAAAAUGACGGUACCUGACUAAGAAGCCCCGGCUAACUACGUGCCAGCAGCCGCGGUAAUACGUAGGGGGCAAGCGUUAUCCGGAUUUACUGGGUGUAAAGGGAGCGUAGACGGCAGUGCAAGUCUGAAGUGAAAGGCAAGGGCUCAGCCCUUGGACUGCUUUGGAAACUGUGCUGCUGGAGUGUCGGAGAGGCAA
Molecule: ribosomal RNA, 305 nt
Filed under: uncultured bacterium
Lineage: Bacteria
Description: bacterial SSU rRNA
Rfam family: Bacterial small subunit ribosomal RNA
Source: RNAcentral